CCUACGGGAGGCAGCAGUGGGGAAUAUUGGGCAAUGGGCGCAAGCCUGACCCAGCAACGCCGCGGGAAGGAAGAAGGCUUUCGGGUUGUAAACUUCUUUGGUCAGGGAGGGGUAGAAGACGUUACCUGACGAAUAAGCAACGGCUAACUACGUGCCAGCAGCGGCGGUAAUACGUAGGUGGAAAGCGUUGUCCGGAUUUACUGGGUGUAAAGGGCGUGUAGCCGGGUUGAAAAGUCAGAUGUGAAAUCCUGCGGCUUAACCGCAGAACUGCAUUUGAAACUGUUGAUCUUGAGUACUGGAGAGGCAGAUGGAAUUCCUAGUGUAGCGGUGAAAUGCGUAGAUAUUAGGAGGAACACCAGUGGCGAAGGCGGUCUGCUGGACAGCAACUGACGGUGAGGCGCGAAAGCGUGGGGAGCAAACAGGAUUAGAUACCCCAGUAGUC
This 442-nucleotide ribosomal RNA is filed under the name uncultured bacterium. RNAcentral describes it as "partial 16S ribosomal RNA". It matches the Rfam family "Bacterial small subunit ribosomal RNA", at positions 338 to 795 of the family's 1533-position model. The record is from RNAcentral.